Long non-coding RNA from Mauremys reevesii (Reeves's turtle), 1687 nucleotides. RefSeq lists it as uncharacterized. The transcript has 3 exons. The record is from RefSeq and is a predicted model, not a curated record. NCBI's taxonomy places the organism in Eukaryota, Metazoa, Chordata, Testudines, Geoemydidae.
CACAGAAGAACUGUGUUUUCAGCAGUGACUUCAAGAAGAUCAGGGUGGAAGUGUGACAAACAGGUUUUCCAAGCAUAACAGGCUGCUUGGAAGAAAGCAUGGAGAUGCCUGUGAGAGAAGAAGAUGAAGAAUAUGGAGACUGGUGUUGGCAGAGCAGAAGGGGAAGAAGGGAAAGGCAGAAGGAGACCAGCUCAGAGAUAUUUGCAGAGGCUGCAUAAGACUAUCCCUGAAGGGGUGAGACUUGGAACUGACCUGGCCAGAGGCCCAGGCAUGAGAAGAGAGGAAGAGAGUUAUCAUGCCAUGCCUGGCCAUGAAGAAGAGGUGCCAAGUGUUUGCAGAGGCUUGUAGAUGGCAGUGUGCUGUGAAAGAAGCAGAGCCUUUGACCACAGCAGAGCCCGGAUUAGGGGGCCUAUAAAGGCAGCCAAGCAGCCAGCCACAAGCAUAGAAGGAAAGGCCCAGAAGCCAGCAAACAGAGCUGAAAACAGGGGAGUAGGAGUUUGGGCGAGGUAGUAAGUGGUGGUCUUUUUAUUUUGUGUGUGGUGUAUUUUUUUGGGGGAAAGGGGGUUUGUGGGUUUUUUUGGGUUGGAUUUGUUUUUUUUGUUUUCCUUGACAGAAGCUUAGGAGGGAAGGAUAUGACAGUGACAGAGGCAGCAGUGGUAGUGACCCAAGAAAUGGAAGAGACAAUGAAGAUGACUGGAAUGUGGAAACUGUGUGAUGUACAUUAUCCUGGAGAGGGUACCCAAAAUGUGCUUUGCUUGUAUGAAGGGCCACUUGAUAAAGCUGAUGGAAGAGAAGAGCUAAGGUUUGGAGACACAGACAAAAACAAUGGUUGAGUUUCAACUGGAAUUCGAGCAGAGAAUGAAGGGAAGGCAAGAGGAGGCUGAAGGGAAAAUUCAAGAUUCACAGAUGCAAGCUGGACUGGAGAACUGUGAGAGUAGACUGCUGGAUGAGGAAAGUGGCCAGUGAAAGCAUGGGACUAUGAGAACCAGGCAGAGGGAAAGAUCAGCUAGUGAAGGAGAAAUAGAGCUCAGGAACAGGUUUGCUGAGUUGUACAAUGAAGAGCACAGCAGGCUGCAACAGAAGGUGGGAGGACAAAGAAGAAGAGAAGAGUGGCUAGUCCUACAAGAAGAGGAGAACAGUAAAUGCAGAUUGCCAGGGUUUGGAGCCCCAGAAGGAUAGGGGACAACUCGCAUAAGAUUGCAAGGAAGAGCAAAAAAUAAGAGGACUUGCAGCCAGAAAGAACAGAAUGAGGAAUACAGAAUGAGAGAAUCACAACAAUAGGGGACUCCCUAUUAAGAAGAACAGACAGGCCUGUCACCAGAGAUGAUCUGGAAAACGGAAGGGUGUGCUGUCAGCUGGGAGCUAAAACAUGGGAUGUGGAUCUGGGGCUGAAGAGAAUCCUAAUGAGAGCAGGGAAGAAUCUACUGUCCUUCACAUGGGAACAACUGAUACCACUAGAUUCUUGCUGGAACGCAUCAAGAAAGAUUAUGCAAGGCUGGGUAAGACACUUUAAGAAAUGGAGUCUCGGGUGAUUUUGAGUGGGAUUCUACCUGUCCCUAGAGGAGGAGAAUGAAGGUGAGACAACAAUAUGAUGAUCAACCAUUACGAUGAUAGCCAGGCAGUGGUGCUAUAAGGAGGGCUUUGGGGUAUUUGAUCACUGGAAAGCAUUCAUGGACAGAAGACUAUU